RNAcentral lists this ribosomal RNA (468 nucleotides) under uncultured bacterium. Its description in RNAcentral is "partial 16S ribosomal RNA". It matches the Rfam family "Bacterial small subunit ribosomal RNA", at positions 28 to 507 of the family's 1533-position model. The record is from RNAcentral.
GACGAACGCUGGCGGCGUGCUUAACACAUGCAAGUCGAACGGAAAGGCCCUGCUUUUGUGGGGUGCUCGAGUGGCGAACGGGUGAGUAACACGUGAGUAACCUGCCCUUGACUUUGGGAUAACUUCAGGAAACUGGGUCUAAUACCGGAUAGGAGCUCCUGCUGCAUGGUGGGGGUUGGAAAGUUUCGGCGGUUGGGGAUGGACUCGCGGCUUAUCAGCUUGUUGGUGGGGUAGUGGCUUACCAAGGCUUUGACGGGUAGCCGGCCUGAGAGGGUGACCGGCCACAUUGGGACUGAGAUACGGCCCAGACUCCUACGGGAGGCAGCAGUGGGGAAUAUUGCACAAUGGGCGGAAGCCUGAUGCAGCAACGCCGCGUGCGGGAUGACGGCCUUCGGGUUGUAAACCGCUUUCGCAUGUGACGAAGCGUGAGUGACGGUAAUGGGUAAAGAAGCACCGGCUAACUACGUG